AGUUGAGCGCAGCGAAACAACGGAGCCGCUCGCGGCGACGACCCGAAGGGCGAGCGAAGCGAGUCAUCCUGCACGACCCACCA
Molecule: small RNA, 83 nt
Filed under: Escherichia coli
Lineage: Bacteria; Pseudomonadati; Pseudomonadota; Gammaproteobacteria; Enterobacterales; Enterobacteriaceae
Description: partial RtT sRNA
Rfam family: RtT RNA
About the family: This family represents a bacterial cis-regulatory element known as RtT RNA.
Source: RNAcentral